CAAUCCACUAAUACUUUGUGCAUCAUCAGUUAUUAUUAAAUUUUGCUUACUUCUUAAUACUCAGUAUAACAUUAUCUCUGCUGUAGUAUCACAAUUUUUAUAUAUUUUGCGUAACUUUUAGUAAAUAUUUAAAUCAAAAAGUGCUGCCGCAAUUAGUUGCACGCACGUGGUCGAAAGCCGAUUUCUGCAAUGGAAGCCCCUCAGCUGCCGCUGAUAGUUGCACGCACGUGGUCAGAAGUCGGUUUAUGGAAUGGAAGAAACUCAGGACUCGGACCAAGGCCAAGGCUAAGCAGUUCAGUCUGAUGCAUGGUAAGUUUUGAAGUUUUUUUUUUUUACGCUUUUUAAUUUCACAAUGAUGAAAAGUAAUUAC
This is a long non-coding RNA of Drosophila montana, 370 nucleotides long. RefSeq lists it as uncharacterized. The transcript is spliced from 4 exons. The record is from RefSeq and is a predicted model, not a curated record. NCBI's taxonomy places the organism in Eukaryota, Metazoa, Arthropoda, Insecta, Diptera, Drosophilidae.